RNAcentral lists this ribosomal RNA (428 nucleotides) under uncultured prokaryote. RNAcentral describes it as "bacterial SSU rRNA". It matches the Rfam family "Bacterial small subunit ribosomal RNA", at positions 355 to 774 of the family's 1533-position model. The record is from RNAcentral.
UGAGGAAUCUUGCGCAAUGGGGGAAACCCUGACGCAGCAACGCCGCGUGCGUGAGGAAGGCCUUCGGGUCGUAACGCUCUGUCAGUUGGGAAGAAACACCUGAGGGUUAAUACCCUCCAGGCUUGACGGUACCAACAGAGGAAGCACCGGCUAACUCCGUGCCAGCAGCCGCGGUAAUACGGGGGGUGCAAGCGUUGUUCGGAAUUACUGGGCGUAAAGCGCGCGUAGGCGGAUAUGUAAGUCAGAAGUGAAAUCCCUCGGCUUAACCGAGGAAUAGCUUUUGAUACUGUGUAUCUUGAGUUCGGGAGAGGUUAGUGGAACUCCAGGUGUAGGAGUGAAGUCCGUAGAUAUCUGGAGGAACAUCAGUGGCGAAGGAGACUGAGUGGUCCGAGACUGACGCUGUGGUGCGAAAGCGUGGGUAGCAAACA